Molecule: RNA transcript, 2160 nt
Organism: Helicoverpa armigera (cotton bollworm)
Lineage: Eukaryota; Metazoa; Arthropoda; Insecta; Lepidoptera; Noctuidae
Exons: 3
Source: RefSeq, a predicted model, not a curated record
ACCACAGAACUAGUAGAACUUGUGAAUGGUGACUGUUUGCUAUUUAAAAAUAAUAAUAUUACAUAAAUAUAUCAAAUAAAUAGUAAUACUUAUCAGCAAAGUGUUUAUAAAUAAAGUGUGUAACAUUGGAAUAUCAAAACAAUUGUUUUCCUGUAAAACCAUAAAUGUAUUGGACAACAUGAAUCACUUUAAAGAACAACUGAAUUUGGAACAAAAUAUUGGGAAUUUCCCAACUACAAACGAAGAUUCUGCAACUGUUUCAGAAGAGGAUACUGUCAUGAUUGCAAAACAACCUUUAAAGAUAAGAAUGAAACUUAACAAUUAUAAAGUUCAAGAAAUUAUUGAUAGGUUAUCAACAGAAAAUUUUGAAUUUCAACAGAAUUCGGUUGACAUAACUGCUAAAAACUGUCAUACUAGUAAUGAACAAAACCAAUUACCAUCAACCAAUUCUGAUGAAAUUAGCGUUAAUAACUUAUUAAUUUUAACAAAACAGCGUGAACAAUCGUGCUUAUCGAAUGAUUCAGUGAUUUCUAGUUCAAAAAUGUAUGUAGAAAAACAAACUGAUAAUAUUAGUAAUAAUAAUCAUUCCAAAGCAGAUAGUUCAGUUUUGAAUAACACGCGAAAGAAUCAAAGUUCAAGGGAACAAAUGUUUAAUCAUAGUACUGUCCAUAUUGAAAAUAAUACAGAAAAUGACAUUGAACAUUGUUAUAAUUCUGAAAAUGAAAAAUUAUCAGUGAGGGAAUCCUUGUACGCGAUGAAUGACAAAUUUCAAAAAGUAAAAAAAGAUGUUAUGGCUUUUUUGAAUAAGAAAAAUGAACGGUAUUCUGAAAAUAAUUAUGAUCAAAUUAAUAGUAAUGAUGAAAACUGUGAUAACGAAGAAAAUUAUAAACUACCAAUAUUACUUGAUUAUUUGCGUUAUAUAAACCAAAAGUUUCAAAAAUUACGUCCAAAGAUUAUUGAGUUAUAUGUAGAAACCGAAGAACCGAAUCGACUAAAUAAGCUUGAAAAACAAAGAGAUUUAAAAAUAAAAACAAAAAAACGUCUAUUUUCGAUACAAGAGCAAGAUAAUAAACAAGGUCAUGAGAUAAGCAACAAAAAAACUAAACGAAUAUCAGACACAAAGUGGACUUUACGACAUUUAAAUCCAAGCCGCGAGCUCGUUGAGCUCAUACCUAACUCACGUGUUUUUAUCGAUAGAAUGUAUUUGAUGGGCUGUGAAAUAAACUUCAAUAAUCCUAUAAAAUUUGCUCGUGGACUAUUACAAGGUAUUUUUAAUGAUGAAGCAUUACAAAAUUGUACAUUAAGUGGCUCUAAUCGUGGUAAAAAAAGAAGUUCUAACAACAAACAACUUAUGAGAGCAGGGUUGGAUUUGCAUGCUGUAAAUGUAUUAAUAGAAUUUGUCAAACUACAUUGUUUAAAACGUGAUUGGGCGCCAAUUAACAGAAAUGAAUUGUUGAGUAGUUUAAGAAGUAAAUUAAUAGAAAUAAGGAAUAAAAAAACAUCCACGUAUAGACAGAUAUGAUACAACAUUUGGCUGCCUAUGCUAUGAAUGCCUAUUAUAAACAAUUUAUCAAUUCAUAACAACUAAACUACAGUGAACUGCUAUAUUGAAGGUCAAGUGAGUUUUUAUUGAUCAUCAAGUUUGCCUAUAUUUACGUACAUAUACAUAAUAUACUCUCAUUUUUAAAGUAGUGUUUGUAUGUGCACGCUCUCAAUAUCAAAUUGUUUAACGAAUAAAAUGUUGAAAUUUUACGUAAUGAUGUUCUUAAAUUUAAAUUGAGUUCAUUAACAAUGUAUUUUAUCUAAAGAUAUACAGUAUUUUCUUUGAGCAUAUAUAAUGGACAUUGUAUAAAAUAUGACAUCAAAAUAGGAAAGGUAUAUUCCAAGAUAAUAGAAACCGUAUUUAUUUACAUAUGAUUAGAAGUGUAUAUGAGAGAUAAUUUACACUGUCAUUAUUUUUAUCAUAUACAAUUGAGGAAAAAAAAAGUAUUUCACGCUUAAUAUAAUGUCAGAUGAGUACAUUAAAAUUUGUACCUAUGUAUAGCUUGUUAUAUUUGUUUACAUACAAUAUUUUAUAUUAGUACUUAAGAUAAACUGAAUUGUAAUAGAUUAUAAGUAAAUUAAGAUGGAUAAUUGUAUUAUUGAUUAUUAAAUUUUAAA